CCCUUGUUUGAUCCUGGCUCAGGACGAACGCUGGCGGCGUGCUUAACACAUGCAAGUCUACGAGAAAGAGGUAGCAAUAUCUUGAUUAAAGUGGCGCACGGGUGAGUAACACGUAAGUAAUCUACCCAUAGAUUUGGAAUAACCCCGCGAAAGUGGGGCUAAUACCGUAUAAUGCAGCGGCACCGCAUGGUGAUGUUGUUAAAGUUUAUAUGACGUCUAUGGAUGAGCUUGCGCCCGAUUAGCUAGUUGGUAGAGUAAAAGCCUACCAAGGCAACGAUCGGUAGCUGGUCUGGGAGGAUGAUCAGCCACACUGGAACUGAGACACGGUCCAGACUCCUACGGGAGGCAGCAGUGAGGAAUAUUGGGCAAUGCCCGAAAGGGUGACCCAGCAACGCCGCGUGGAGGAUGAAGGCCGUAAGGUUGUAAACUCCUGUUAGAGGGGAAGAAAAACUCCGAUAGAAUCGGAGACUGACUGUACCCUCAGAGGAAGCCCCGGCUAACUACGUGCCAGCAGCCGCGGUAAUACGUAGGGGGCAAGCGUUGUCCGGAUUCACUGGGUGUAAAGGGCGCGUAGGCGGGCUAGCAAGUCAGAGGUGAAAUCUCCCGGCUUAACCGGGAAACUGCCUUUGAAACUGUUAGUCUUGAGUGCGGAAGAGAGAGACGGAAUUCCAGGUGUAGCGGUGAAAUGCGUAGAUAUCUGGAGGAACACCAGUCGCGAAGGCGGUCUCUUGGUCCGUAACUGACGCUCAGGCGCGAAAGCGUGGGUAGCAAACAGGAUUAGAUACCCUGGUAGUCCACGCUGUAAACGAUGAAUACUAGGUGUUGGGUCGAAAGGCUCAGUGCCGCAGCUAACGCAUUAAGUAUUCCACCUGGGGAGUACGAUCGCAAGGUUGAAACUCAAAGGAAUUGACGGGGCCCGCACAGCAGU
This 928-nucleotide ribosomal RNA is filed under the name bacterium enrichment culture clone 3_71. RNAcentral's name for it is "bacterial SSU rRNA". It matches the Rfam family "Bacterial small subunit ribosomal RNA", at positions 1 to 933 of the family's 1533-position model. The record is from RNAcentral.